RNAcentral lists this ribosomal RNA (465 nucleotides) under uncultured bacterium. RNAcentral describes it as "partial 16S ribosomal RNA". It matches the Rfam family "Bacterial small subunit ribosomal RNA", at positions 28 to 507 of the family's 1533-position model. The record is from RNAcentral.
GACGAACGCUGGCGGCGUGCUUAACACAUGCAAGUCGAACGGAAAGGCCCCUUUGGGGGUACUCGAGUGGCGAACGGGUGAGUAACACGUGGGUAACCUGCCCUUGACUUCGGGAUAACUUCAGGAAACUGGGGCUAAUACCGGCUAGGAAUCCUUGCUGCAUGGUGGGGGUUGGAAAGCUUCGGCGGUUUUGGAUGGACUCGCGGCUUAUCAGCUUGUUGGUGGGGUAGUGGCUUACCAAGGCUUUGACGGGUAGCCGGCCUGAGGGGGCGACCGGCCACAUUGGGACUGAGAUACGGCCCAGACUCCUACGGGAGGCAGCAGUGGGGAAUAUUGCACAAUGGGCGGAAGCCUGAUGCAGCAACGCCGCGUGCGGGAUGACGGCCUUCGGGUUGUAAACCGCUUUCAGCAGGGGCGAAGCUUGUGGUGACGGUACCUGCAGAAGAAGCACCGGCUAACUACGUG